This is a long non-coding RNA of Phascolarctos cinereus (koala), 700 nucleotides long. RefSeq lists it as uncharacterized. Lineage: Eukaryota; Metazoa; Chordata; Mammalia; Diprotodontia; Phascolarctidae. The record is from RefSeq and is a predicted model, not a curated record.
UGCAGGUCUCUCUUCAAACAGAAUCUUUAAGUGAAUAUGUCUCACCAUCUCCUUUAAGGAUGGAGGAAGAAACAUGGGAUGUUAAGAGGCCUCGUAGGAUUGGAGAUUGAACCAAUAGCCUAUUUCUUGUGGACUCCACUUUUAAUAAGUUUCAACAGUUGUAAGAAAGAGGAUGGAACAAGCUGAUGACCUGACACCCUGGAGCCAUAGAGUUUCCAUGGAUCUUCCAAAGAAAUGAACAAAGCACAGUAUUCAGUCAAGCCACACUUGUGUGGUCAGCUCCAUGAAGCCAUGCUCAGGUGAUGAGAACUCAUUGAAAUGCUGCAGAAAAGAAAGGAGGACAGAGCAUACUAGUGGAGGGAGAGGAGGAUCACAACCAAGAGAUUAAGUAGACAAAUUCACAUGGAUUACACCAUUGGAAUGAUAACAUGAACACUGACACCAGAUUGGAGCUUCUCCAUGCCAGCAUGUCAACAGUGCCAGGAAGUAAAAUGUGCUUCAUUAAAAACCCACAGCAAAACCCAAACUGUGCCCAAAACUCAUUUGCAAACACAGAGUGCAGCUGCUUUCAAGCCACCGCCUAGCUCUCCUGACAAGAGGGAGUGUUCACAGCACAGCAGGCCUGAGUGAGCGCCAAGGGGAAGGAAAAUGAUUUAGGAGGAAAAGAGGAAAACAACAAAAUGAUUUCCCGAUUGAGGAA